Non-coding RNA from Earliella scabrosa, 98 nucleotides. Lineage: Eukaryota; Fungi; Basidiomycota; Agaricomycetes; Polyporales; Polyporaceae. The record is from the annotation of a GenBank genome assembly.
GGCCGACUAGCUCAGUUGGUUAGAGCGUAGUGCUAAUACUCUGAGGAGCGUCUGCCAAGGGUACGCUAAGGUCGUCGGUUCGAUCCCGGCGUUGGCCA